UUUAUACUGGCUGCAGAGAUUGGGCAGGGGGCCGAAACGGUGCUGUCUCAGAUAUGUGCCGAAGCUUUGGGGAUUUCCAUAGACAGUGUGCGCAUCAGAACCGAGGAUACAGAUAUAAGCCCUAUUGACUUAGGAGCCUAUUCGUCGAGGAUAACUCUGAUGGGCGGAAAUGCCGUAGCCCGAGCGGCAAAAGAUGUCCUGAAAAAACUGUUUGAAACAGCGGCAGUUUUACUUGGAGAAGAGGCCGCAAGUCUUGAAGCCAAAAACAGCCGCAUUUAUCUUAAAGAUAAUCCGGAUAUAGCGAUGGAUUGGGCCGAGGCUGCGCGAAAGUACUUCAAUGACAAUGGGCCGCUUGUGGGAACCGGUUGGUACAAACCUCCGGAAGGACUGGGCGGAGAUUAUAAGGGUGCAGCCGUAGGGACCAGCCCGGCGUAUUCUUUUUCAAGUGCGGUCU
This 454-nucleotide ribosomal RNA is filed under the name uncultured eukaryote. Its description in RNAcentral is "partial small subunit ribosomal RNA". The record is from RNAcentral.